Molecule: long non-coding RNA, 1028 nt
Organism: Cryptotermes secundus
Lineage: Eukaryota; Metazoa; Arthropoda; Insecta; Blattodea; Kalotermitidae
Exons: 2
Source: RefSeq, a predicted model, not a curated record
UGAUGUGGAUCAUGUGGAUGUCGCGUUCGGUUGCGAUAGAGGCAAUUUUUUAUUUUUUGACAGGCAGUGAAAGGUUAGGAAAGCGAUGAGAAGGUGUUCGUCAUUGAAUGGAAAUAAAAAGGAAGAGGUUCAAUUUCAAUCUUCAGGUGCAGAGGUUACAAAAGGAUGCUUCUGCUGUUGUCUCCAGGUACAGCUACCCUCAUAGUUUCAUAGUAUUGAACACAAAAUAAAGGAUGCAACAAAAAACUAUAUUUGGAGAAUGAAAAUUUUUAUUGCAUUUACUUCAAAUUAAUACAUAGGAUAAUAUACCAUGCAUGACUGUGAUACUAACAUCAUCCCAAGCUAUAACAGCUAGGAGAACAGAAGGUUUGCAUAGUUAAUGUUAUCUAUAAUUUCUGGCAUAUCUCACAAUAUAAAAAAGCUCAUUUAAUAUCAUGAGUGUAUGUGUACAUGAGCUAAAUAUGAUCAAGAAAAUAUUUGUGUGUUACAACAAUACAAAAUUAUUUUUAAAAUAGACUGAAGCUUAAAUGUCAUAAGAAUCUUGAUUCAGAAUAAUCAGGAAGUCUCAAAUUUACAGUGUAUGCAAUUUUCAGUGUUAGUUGUGUUAAUCUGUACUCUUAAAUGUUCUAAAAACUGACCUCUAAGGCCCUAACAUCUCAAACUGGCCAUGAAGGUACAUGAUCCAACCACUCUUAAGUAUACAUAUUCAAUUUACAUUCUGUCUUUUGUUUGUAACCAUUUUCUUGCCAGUUGCUGAACUUAUGUUUUAAUAUUUGGACUCAUUAAAUAAAAAUGGCCACAUUUAUGGUUUAAAAACCAGUUAAAUUUAGGGGGAGGCAGUAAGAUUAUUUGCAUCAAAAUAUCUUUUUGUCAGUUCUGAUAGUCAAAAGUCUAAACCUCAUAUAAUGGCAUUAAAGGCUGACUUAAUUAAAUGUCCAAGUGACUGCUGGCAUGCCCCAACCAAUUCUACAUAUUGCGGUAAUGAAUAUUGGGUAUUUUAUAAUUCUAUGAGCUGAAGGGAAUUUAUC